GACGAACGCUGGCGGCGUGCUUAACACAUGCAAGUCGAGCGGGGAUAUUGAGGAAGCUUGCUUCUGAGAUAUUCUAGCGGCGGACGGGUGAGUAACGCGUGAGCAACCUUUCCUCUACUGGGGAAUAACACAGGGAAACUUGUACUAAUACCGCAUGAGACCACAGAGCUGGGCAUCUGGUUGGGGUGAAAGAUUUAUCGACUGAAAGAUGGCCUCGCGUCUGAUUAGCUAGUUGGUGAGGUAACGGCCCACCAAGGCGACGAUCAGUAGCCGGACUGAGAGGUUGACCGGCCACAUUGGGACUGGAGAUACGGCCCAGACUCCUACGGAGGCAGCAGUGGGGAAUAUUGGGCAAUGGACGCAA
RNAcentral lists this ribosomal RNA (364 nucleotides) under uncultured bacterium. RNAcentral's name for it is "bacterial SSU rRNA". It matches the Rfam family "Bacterial small subunit ribosomal RNA", at positions 28 to 380 of the family's 1533-position model. The record is from RNAcentral.